GUCGAACGAGAAACCCCGGGCUUGCUCGGGGGAGUAAAGUGGCGCACGGGUGAGUAACGCGUGGGUAACCUACCUCUGAAUCUGGAAUAACUUCGCGAAAGCGUUGCUAAUACCGGAUAUUGUCCCUUGAUCUUCGGUUCUUGGGAUGAAAGGUGACCUCUUCUUGAAAGUUGCCGUUUGGGGAUGGGCCCGCGUACCAUUAGCUAGUUGGUAGGGUAAUAGCCUACCAAGGCGAGGAUGGUUAGCUGGUCUGAGAGGAUGACCAGCCACACUGGCACUGAAACACGGGCCAGACUCCUACGGGAGGCAGCAGUGAGGAAUCUUGCGCAAUGGGGGAAACCCUGACGCAGCAACGCCGCGUGAGCGAAGAAGGCCUUCGGGUCGUAAAGCUCUGUCUAGUGGGAAAAAAGUCCUGGUGUGAAUAGCUCCAGGAUCUGAUGGUACCGCUGGAGGAAGCACCGGCUAACUCCGUGCCAGCAGCCGCGGUAAUACGGAGGGUGCAAGCGUUGUUCGGAAUUAUUGGGCGUAAAGGGCGUGUAGGCGGUUUGGUAAGUC
This 555-nucleotide ribosomal RNA is filed under the name uncultured delta proteobacterium. RNAcentral's name for it is "bacterial SSU rRNA". It matches the Rfam family "Bacterial small subunit ribosomal RNA", at positions 61 to 589 of the family's 1533-position model. The record is from RNAcentral. Lineage: Bacteria; Deltaproteobacteria.